GGCCCACCAUAACCACCUCCCUGAUUUCGAGGACCACCAGAACCAUACCCACCAGGAGGUCCACCACGACCACCAGUCCUCACAUCACUCAAACCCUCACCAGCAUAACCACCCACAGGGCCACCAUAAGAUGGAGGGUAUGAUGUAGGUCCACCAGUAUAGCUCGUAGGUGGAGGGACUGAGUCCAUUCCAUAAUUUGCAUUCCCACCAUAUGCAUUAGGAGCAGGUGGAUAAUUCCCACCAUAAGAAUUGGGCGCUGGAGGAGGAACUUGACUGUACCCACUAUCUUCUCCCCCUUGACUACUUCCAUAAGAACC
RNAcentral lists this long non-coding RNA (317 nucleotides) under Gossypium barbadense (sea-island cotton). RNAcentral describes it as "long non-coding RNA (GBAR_LNC001911)". The record is from RNAcentral. Lineage: Eukaryota; Viridiplantae; Streptophyta; Magnoliopsida; Malvales; Malvaceae.